AAAAAUUUAAGGUCUGACCUGCUCACUGAAUUGUUUUAAAGAGCCGCGGUAUUUUGACCGUGCAAAGGUAGCAUAAUCAUUAGUCCUUUAAUUAGGGGCUGGUAUGAAUGGUUUGACAAGGAAUUUUCUGUCUCUUAAUGAUUUAUAUAAUUUAUCUUUUAAGUUAAAAGACUUAAAUUUUUCUUUAGGACGAGAAGACCCUAUAGAGUUUAAUAUUUUAUUUAUUUUUAAUUUUCUGAUAGUUUAUUUAUUUUUAAUGAUAAUAUUUUGUUGGGGUGAUAUGAAGAAUAAAUAAACUCUUCAUUAUAAAAUCAUUAAUUUAUGUUUAUUUGAUCCAUAUUUUAUGAUCAUAAGAUUAAAUUACCUUAGGGAUAACAGCGUAAUUAUUUUUGAGAGCUCAUAUCGACAAAAUAGAUUGCGACCUCGAUGUUGGAUUAAGAAAAAUUCUAGAUGUAGAAGUUUGGAGAUUAGGUCUGUUCGACCUUU
Molecule: ribosomal RNA, 486 nt
Filed under: Altiusambilla modicicrus
Lineage: Eukaryota; Metazoa; Arthropoda; Insecta; Orthoptera; Lentulidae
Description: partial 16S ribosomal RNA
Rfam family: Bacterial large subunit ribosomal RNA
Source: RNAcentral